Molecule: non-coding RNA, 164 nt
Filed under: Thalassiosira gravida
Lineage: Eukaryota; Bacillariophyta; Thalassiosirophyceae; Thalassiosirales; Thalassiosiraceae
Source: RNAcentral
ACGUGACGCCCGGCCAGCAGUACAUGCUGAUACCACCACACUCGGAAUGUAGGCCCGUUCUGCAGUAUGUUUCGAGGGAGCAUUGAGCUGCGGCUUCUGUAUAGGAUAUUCCGCAAAAAAAAUGGUUUGAUUUGUGAUCGUACGGGAGGGGAGAGAAAGUUGGA